Molecule: ribosomal RNA, 495 nt
Filed under: uncultured bacterium
Lineage: Bacteria
Description: partial 16S ribosomal RNA
Rfam family: Bacterial small subunit ribosomal RNA
Source: RNAcentral
GACGAACGCUGGCGGCGUGCCUAAUACAUGCAAGUAGAACGCUGAAGGAGGAGCUUGCUUCUCUGGAUGAGUUGCGAACGGGUGAGUAACGCGUAGGUAACCUGCCUGGUAGCGGGGGAUAACUAUUGGAAACGAUAGCUAAUACCGCAUAAGAGUAGAUGUUGCAUGACAUUUGCUUAAAAGGUGCAAUUGCAUCACUACCAGAUGGACCUGCGUUGUAUUAGCUAGUUGGUGGGGUAACGGCUCACCAAGGCGACGAUACAUAGCCGACCUGAGAGGGGGAUCGGCCACACUGGGACUGAGACACGGCCCAGACUCCUACGGGAGGCAGCAGUAGGGAAUCUUCGGCAAUGGACGGAAGUCUGACCGAGCAACGCCGCGUGAGUGAAGAAGGUUUUCGGAUCGUAAAGCUCUGUUGUAAGAGAAGAACGAGUGUGAGAGUGGAAAGUUCACACUGUGACGGUAUCUUAUCAGAAAGGGACGGCUAACUACGUG